RNAcentral lists this ribosomal RNA (434 nucleotides) under uncultured bacterium. Its description in RNAcentral is "bacterial SSU rRNA". It matches the Rfam family "Bacterial small subunit ribosomal RNA", at positions 29 to 507 of the family's 1533-position model. The record is from RNAcentral.
AACGAACGCUGGCGGCAGGCCUAACACAUGCAAGUCGAACGCCGUAGCAAUACGGAGUGGCAGACGGGUGAGUAACACGUGGGAACGUACCUUUCGGUUCGGAAUAACUCGAGGGAAACUUGAGCUAAUACCGGAUACGUGCGAGAGCAGAAAGAUUUAUCGCCGAAAGAUCGGCCCGCGUCCGAUUAGCUAGUUGGUGAGGUAAUGGCUCACCAAGGCGACGAUCGGUAGCUGGUCUGAGAGGAUGAUCAGCCACACUGGGACUGAGACACGGCCCAGACUCCUACGGGAGGCAGCAGUGGGGAAUAUUGGACAAUGGGCGAAAGCCUGAUCCAGCCAUGCCGCGUGAGUGAUGACGGCCUUAGGGUUGUAAAGCUCUUUCGCCAGGGACGAUAAUGACGGUACCUGGAUAAGAAGCCCCGGCUAACUUCGUG